GCCUACAUUUUUGUUUGUUUUAGUGGAUAUUAGUCACUGUACUGUUGACUCAACAUUUGAACACUAAAAGCCUAAGGAAAAUAAAAUGUUAUCAAGUUUGAUUUCUAAUUGAUGGUUUUCUAUUUCAGGGCUAACAAAUCUAUGGCUGUUCAGACACUCUGCCCAUAAAUCCCUGUUCAUGGGCACUAGAUCACUCCAAGCAGCUAUGAAAGCUUAUACAAUUUCUACAAUAUCUUUCUCUCAGUCUCAAAGGAUAAAAUCUAGAUGAUGCAUUGGACUGUCAUCCUCCUAGGAAACCAGUAGCCAGGACGAGUCUGAAGAAGUCAAAAUAUCUUUCAAUCAGAUACCAAGGUUCUGGGUUGCAACACAAUAAAGCAAAUCACGGCAUAAAAGUGCCUGACAAAGCCACUCU
Molecule: long non-coding RNA, 412 nt
Filed under: Anolis carolinensis (green anole)
Lineage: Eukaryota; Metazoa; Chordata; Lepidosauria; Squamata; Anolidae
Description: lncRNA (ENSACAG00000035274.1)
Source: RNAcentral